Long non-coding RNA from Fukomys damarensis (Damara mole-rat), 2355 nucleotides. RefSeq lists it as uncharacterized. The transcript has 6 exons. The record is from RefSeq and is a predicted model, not a curated record. NCBI's taxonomy places the organism in Eukaryota, Metazoa, Chordata, Mammalia, Rodentia, Bathyergidae.
AGCGCGCCCUCCACGGCCGGGUGGGCUGUUUGAGGAGAGUGCCGCGGCCGACGCGCUGGUCAGGGGGGCCGUGGCGGAAAAGAGCACUAGACUCUGAACCCUCGGGCUCCUUCUCAGCCCCAGACUCCCUUUGUCCCGGGCAAGCCGGCCUCGUUUACUAGCCUUCCAGUCCACCAGCGCAGACCCGGCCGCCCUCUCGCGCAGGGCUAGGCUGCCAGCUCCGGGACAAUGCCAGCGCCUCUGCGACCUCGGGCCUGGCUACUCCCGCAGGCAGCGCAAGGCGAUGUUCAACCCUGGGACCCACGCCAGGCCACCGCCUCCGGGCAGCGCCGGGAUUGCUCUCUCCAGACAUACUUUUAAAAGGUCAUGCUUUGGGAGUAUUGUGUUGUGAGCGUGAACAGUGACAGACUGCAACAGCAUUAGCAGACCUAUAACUCUGUCACCAAUAGAAACCACAGUACGUGGAAUUGAACCCAGGAGCUGAGUUUCCUUUCAGUACUUGGAAUGAACCCUUGCACUCACUCGCUAUACUGUGCCACACUCUGAGCUCUUGACGUCUGAACAUUACUAAGGCAUGAACUAAAAGGUUCCUAUCCCCAACAUGAAGAUGAUUAUAGUUACUUCAUGGGGGCUGUUGUGAAGAUUGAGUUAUCACAUGGAGUGCUUAAUAUAAUGGCUGCCAUGGAUGAAGUGCCAUAUCCACAGUACUUUUCACAGUGCUGCACCACAAAACGUGCCCAAGAAAUAUUUGUUGCAUGACCAAGUGAGGACUGAAAAGAGGGCAGAUGGUAAUUCUGGAAGAGAAGGCUCAGCUAGAACAGAGGCAUGGAGACAGGCUACCUGUUAUGCUCAGGCUCUAAGCCUGGCCCGGCUUAGAGAGGCAGCUUGUGUCAGUACAGCUCCAGACUUGGCAGAUUGGGAGCUUUCAAGGCCUUUGUCUGGAUUCCCCUUUCUUUCUUGAGCAUUGCCACCCCUCCCUGCUCCUAGGCUUGACUGCAUAUACCUCUGAACCUGGGUCCUGUCAAUCUACGUAACACCUGAACUGGAAACUGUCCUUCCCACAGAGCUCAUUACAUCACUCUCUGGAGCCGAGAGGACUGUAUCUGUGCUACAGCUUUAAUUGGGACAGUCAACUCUAGCAGAAAUGCUCUAAAAGCAAGAGUGAGCUGCUGGUAGCUUGGAUCAGAGUUGUGACUUUCAGAGACUAGCCAGAUGGCUUCAUAAACAGAUUCCCUGGGUGGCAGGGGCAGAGGUGACAACAUACAAUGAAGGUGAAGAGUACAGGCGGGAAGCUGAAACAUCUCUUGAAGACAGGAAUGAGCAACAAGGAAGCAACACGUCUGACUUAGUGUUCAAGAAAGGUUAAGUAAUGAGGCUACUGGUAUCAGACUUUUAGUCCCUACAGACGUCAAGAGACAAGUGUUGCAAAUUCUUUUAAGCCUCAGAUACAUAAAUCCUCUUGUCUUUCUCCCCUACUUUCAAAAAUUGUGCAUAUUAUUCAAGAAAAACCGCAAAGCUUUGAGCUGGUACUGGUAGCCCAAUUUAAGGUCAGGUUUUGCAUAGAAGAUUCAGAGACAGGAAAUACAUUGGUAUAAAAGCAUUAGUGAGGGUAUUGAAGCAAUACCACCUUUUCCACUGUCUCCAAAUGAAAAUGUGCUAUGUCAUUUACUGGUGUCCUUUUCUGAUAGUUUAUUUGUAAAACCGACUACAGCACCUCAGCAUUGCCACUGACUGAUGUGAAAUCCCACAGAAUGUAAGAAAAGGGAAAAUUUUGCUGUACAACCUAGAGUCCAUUCUCAGGAGAGGAGGGAGCUGCUGAUCUGACUGAGAAUUUGAUAUUUUGACUUCCAUAGUUAAACAAAAUAGAGUAUUUUUCUCUUCUUUCCUAAGGAGUUGUCAUAAAAGAAAACACCAUCAUUCUUCCAUACAGGUUAGUAAACAGAUCUUCUGGACAUCUUCACCAUGUUCCUUCUAUAAUUUUAUGCCCCUAAAGCAUCAUUCAUCUUUGACAAGUCUGCCACAUUGGCCUGUUAAAUUUUAAACUAUUGAAUUUUCAUAAUCCUUUUUGUAAAUGAAUAUGCUCCCUACAGACUAUUAUUCCUGAGAGAACUAGGAAUUAUCUGAAAAAGAUGAUAAUUUAUGAUAAUAUAAGGCAAGACAAUUGUUCCUUUUGGAUUAAACAGUUCAAAGUUGAACUGAAGUCCAGGGUCUUGAAUUUUUAAUUAGUAUUAUCCAGUGCAAGAACUUUGUGGGCCAGUUUUGCCAUUGGUAGAACUUUCAUUGAAUAGAUAUUAGAGAGCAUUUGUUCAGGAGAAUUAAAUGAAAUAUAUUGGUCAGUUAUUUUCCAUAAGACUA